Long non-coding RNA from Athalia rosae (coleseed sawfly), 2066 nucleotides. RefSeq lists it as uncharacterized. The transcript is spliced from 4 exons. The record is from RefSeq and is a predicted model, not a curated record. NCBI's taxonomy places the organism in Eukaryota, Metazoa, Arthropoda, Insecta, Hymenoptera, Athaliidae.
CAAUUAAUCGAAGUAAAACUAGAUAAGUAGAACCACGAAUUGAGAGGGGUAGAAUUGCGCUCAACCCAAGUAAACAAAAGUGAUCAAAAACGCGCGAGUUCUUCAUUCGAAAAAUCUCGGUAGAGCGAGCAUGAAAAAUUCGCACUUCUCGCAACGGGGGACGCACGAAGUCGCACUGACUUUUCGUAUCUCAAUCCUUCAACUGCUCUUUACCACACAUCAGGAAUACAGAGACUCCAAGAGUAAACUCUAAGACCUCUGAGACCUAGUGACAGAUUGUUCGCAUCCUCGAUACCAGCAGCAAUAAGUAAGACGCAGGCAUUUGAUUUCCUCGACUCUUCACGUGUUGAUUGAAGAUUAUUUUUCACGAGCCCUCACGAUGAGCUGCUCGAAAAAUAGGUAAGCAGGGAGUAGACCUAAUAUUUUCUUUUGACAAGAAUAACGAGUGAUUUUACAGAUUUUCAAAGUGUCAAACAUAUUUUCUCCCAAACGUGACCCAAGUCUUCUAAGAUAUUUUUGUGACUCUUUCAUCGAUUGAAUUCUUCUCUAUCUAAUAUUCAAUAUUCUCUAAUUCAAUGGUAAUCAGAUCGAAGAAAUUCAUAUUCGUCAUAUUCGUUAUUCGUUGAAUUGUUGAUUGAAGAUUUGUUUCAGUCAAUUUUUUUGAAGAUUUGAUGAUAAUUCAGUUUCACUAACUUUUUUAUCAUGACAUUCGGUCGGUAAACAAUAUGCAGGGAUCUUUCAUCCCCUAUUUGCCCCGAAGGUCACCGCUGCUUAACAUUGAAUUUUACCUACGCGAGUUCGCGGCCGCGCACUAAUCCAAAUUCUUCGACCGCAAACUGCAAGAUGGCGUAUCUGAUGUAUUCAAAAAAAUAUCCCUCCCUUUUCAACGUACCGAGUUGUGUAGAACAUUUUUAAUUUUCUUCGAGCACGUUCUAUUGCUACUCCAAAAAAGCGACCAAGCAAAAAAUUUACAGACUUCGGUAAAAAUUGCUUUUACAACAGAGUCAACUAGGAGCUAUUCUUCUUCUUGUUGGAAUGGUUUUGGAAAAAGACUCCCAACUUUUGGAAAUACGUAUGUAUCCAAAUUCAAAGAAGUUCAAAUGUAUAAAUUUUCUUUCUGUUAUUUUCUUCUUACAACGUUCAACUUAUAACGUGCCACAGAUAUAAUAUAAGUCAAAUUUCAAUUAUUGUCGUUACUAAUAAAAUUAAUUGAAAAUUCAGCUAAUUACAUGCAAGAAUUUUCCAAAUUAAAUACUGCUGAUCCAUUGUAGUUAUGCCAUAUGUAUAUAUAUAUAUCUAACUAUUAUUCAUUAUGCUUGUUUUGCCGAGUCACUAUAGUACAACUAUCAUAAAUAAUACAUACAUAUAUACUUAUGUAUAUGUAAAAUUCGUCAGAGCAGAAAGACACAGAGAGUUUAUGGCACUGUCUGGUACCAGGCACAAACUAUACAUACCUAGAAUUGUAGAUAUAAUCAUCAUUGUUGGAGGCUUUGGUAAUGAAAAAUCUGGGUAUUAGUCUGCAAAAAAAAAAAAAAAAAAUCAAAGGUUCAGCCCUUUUUGUUUUCUCAUAGUCAAUUAUUCAUGGACCGUAGGGCGUGAUAGAAUUCUUGAAGAGCUUUCGGAGCAAAUAAAAAAAACUGAAAAUAUGGAAAACAAAAGGAGACUGGAGAGGAGGAGAAAAGUAUUAAGACCUGAAGGAUGUUGAGAGUCCGGGCAUAAGGGCAGUCUAAAGAAUGAUGCCUCAGGAAUGUGAGGUGUUCCUGUAAUUAAUGUCCCUAACCCCAGCCCCUGGUGUGCAGUGGCAUCAGCAAUGGCAAUGGCAGUGGCAGUGGUUGUUGAGUCCACUGGGGAAAAAGUUGCUCUUCUCCAUAUAACUCACAGUUGUUCUUGGUCCACACUUAGAGGUUCCCAAGGGCUUUAUCUGAUCAACCCGAAGACAAGCUAUGCUGCUCUCAGCUGCAGCGAGUCUGAACUUGAAUCAUUCUGCAGCCUAUCCCUAAGGAGAUCACCCGAUCCCCAACUUGAUUAUUGAGAAUUUCCGCCGAUGCUAUUAUACUUACUUUGCU